RNAcentral lists this unclassified non-coding RNA (22 nucleotides) under Mus musculus (house mouse). RNAcentral's name for it is "oocyte_clustered_small_RNA466". The record is from RNAcentral. Lineage: Eukaryota; Metazoa; Chordata; Mammalia; Rodentia; Muridae.
GACGACCUACAGGAGCCAAAGG